This is a non-coding RNA of Lolium perenne, 1862 nucleotides long. NCBI's taxonomy places the organism in Eukaryota, Viridiplantae, Streptophyta, Magnoliopsida, Poales, Poaceae. The record is from RefSeq and is a predicted model, not a curated record.
UUCCUCCAGGCCUCCAACUCUUCAGCCGCCAUCUCAAAAAAUAAAAUCUUCAACCUCCACCCCAGAUCUUCAACUUCUCAUGGAAGAUCCAGUCCACCGUCCUUGUCCUUCCGCUUAGGUUUGUGCUCCAUCAAGUUCGUCUCGGUUAGAUGUUGUAGUUUACAGUAAUAAAUCGAUCUAGGUUGCCUCCAGCAAUUCGCGACCCCCCUAGAUCCGGCCGGCGAGACGGGCAUGUGAUUAAUCGCAUCACGGGGUUGCCGUCACACCAGGUGCGGGACUGUGGCGUGAAUCCCAUCGCCUGGUAGAGGCAGCUUGCAGGCCUUUUCCGUGAGCGCAGUGUGGGAUUACGGAGUGAACCCCAUCUACAUGCCAUCGUUGAGAUGCUUCUGUCCUCGUAGGUUGUGAAGACCGCACCCAGGGAAAUGUACCAUGCCGAGGAUACCUAAGCAACCGUGGAAGACCAGUUUUCUAGGAUGAGAUGCAGAAAAUGUGCAACUCAGACAAAUAUUGUUUGCAAGGUCCUGCACAAAAUGAUAACAUCUCACCAGGAAUGCCUAAUGAAUCUAGUAGUCCAAUUAACAUAAUUUGUAAGUUUUGCUACUCCCUCCGAUUCAUAUUAAUUGACUCUAAUAUGGAUGUAUCUAGACAUAUUUUAGUUCUAGAUACAUCCAUAUUGAAGUCAAUUAAUAUGAAUCGGAGGGAGUAUAUUUUUUCCAACAUAUGUAUGGUUAUCAUUUCUUGAUGUUAUGCAACAGAACUUCCACUUAGUUAUCAGUAGGGGUGGGUAUUCGCCUUCCUUCAAGUAUUUCACUAUUUUGCCGGUGAUUAACUUCUAUAAGUAAACUAUGGUGGCAUCAGGACUUAUAGUGAGGUCAUAGACGUGAACCAUGUGAACUAUUUUUUUUUAUUCUUCGAGCUUGAUAUACAAGUUUUAUGUUCUAUUGUUCUGCAGCUUCGGAAGAUUAUUUGCAUUUGCUACUCUUUGUUCUGAACUGGUAAAAUUGGUUCUUCAGUAUGAUGCACCCGUAAAGCCAAAGCCAAGGUACAUACAACUUUGUUUUCUUCUGAGUUCUAAGCCUAUUUCCUCAGAUACAAGGAGUAAUUAUCUGACUCUAUAAAAUUUGAUUUAUCUAUCUGCAACCAUAUAUGUAAUCUUCUGAAGACUUUCUUAUUUGAUCAAGUACAUAACCAAGUAUCACUUUCAACGUACAUGCUUCACAUGUUGAAUCCGUAGUGUGGUGUGUGAACUAAGCUCUACUUAUCUUUUGUUUCAUACACAAGCUCUCCAUGUUUUCUACAGAACCAAGAUCUACUUUUUGUUUGUUUUCUACACAAGUAAGCAUUGUAUGUUUCUGUACAGCUGUUUAGUACAUUUAGUAAUUUUUUUUCUUGCACCAGCCGGUAGGUAUGCCGUAUGCAACAUUAUACCAACAAAAAUCCUAAAUACCAAUGUGAAGAUAUAGUCCCUCAGCGUAAGGAUACUGCUCUGAUGGUAAAACACAUGCGCUAUGUGCUUCAUUUGUGCAUAUGGAAAGUAGAACUUGUUAUUGAAAUUUAUUACCAUUUAGUUUAUGUUUCAGAUGACUUUGUCUGCAACGAAUUUUCUGUGUAGGUUUUUAUGCUACAGCACAUAACACUGCAAGGCAAAUCAACAGUAGUGGCAAUGGAGAGCGGAUUUACCAUUUCUAGAUGCCGGAAGCUUGUAGACAUAUUCCAGCUACUGGAAGAAAAUGUACAAGAUUUGGAGAAAUGUUCUUGGUCAAGUUUGUAAUUGUUUCACGAAAAUGUACAAAUCAAAUGUAAAUUAUUUCUUUCAAGAAAUAAAGUUAUUUACUCAACUAAUGCACUAUAUUUUUAAGUUU